GAUGAACGCUGGCGGCGUGCCUAAUACAUGCAAGUCGAGCGAACGGACGAGAAGCUUGCUUUUCUGAUGUUAGCGGCGGACGGGUGAGUAACACGUGGAUAACCUACCUAUAAGACUGGGAUAACUUCGGGAAACCGGAGCUAAUACCGGAUAAUAUUUUGAACCGCAUGGUUCAAAAGUGAAAGACGGUCUUGCUGUCACUUAUAGAUGGAUCCGCGCUGCAUUAGCUAGUUGGUAAGGUAACGGCUUACCAAGGCAACGAUGCAUAGCCGACCUGAGAGGGUGAUCGGCCACCCUGGAACUGAGACACGGUCCAGACUCCUACGGGAGGCAGCAGUAGGGAAUCUUCCGCGAUGGGCGAAAGCCUGACGGAGCAACGCCGCGUGAGUGAUGAAGGUCUUCGGAUCGUAAAACUCUGUUAUUAGGGAAGAACAUAUGUGUAAGUAACUGUGCACAUCUUGACGGUACCUAAUCAGAAAGCCACGGCUAACUACGUG
Molecule: ribosomal RNA, 497 nt
Filed under: uncultured bacterium
Lineage: Bacteria
Description: partial 16S ribosomal RNA
Rfam family: Bacterial small subunit ribosomal RNA
Source: RNAcentral